GAACUCGCCAUGUGAUAGAAAGUUUACAAACAUGCAUGAAAGGUCAAAGGAGACUAAUUAAUUUUUGUGGACAUUUUAAAUUUUAAAAUGACAAUUUUUUUUUUUUUUUUUUUUUUUUGUAGAUGGAGAGAGUAUUACAUAAUGCAUAAAUUCAUGCUGGAAAUGCUAACUUAUUGAAAUAAUUGUUUUUUUAAUUUUCGUAUUUAUAAAAAGAAAAAGAGACAAGUAGUAGCUAGAUAGGAUCCCAG
RNAcentral lists this long non-coding RNA (248 nucleotides) under Salvia miltiorrhiza (redroot sage). RNAcentral's name for it is "long non-coding RNA (SMIL_LNC010267)". Lineage: Eukaryota; Viridiplantae; Streptophyta; Magnoliopsida; Lamiales; Lamiaceae. The record is from RNAcentral.